Molecule: long non-coding RNA, 407 nt
Filed under: Triticum aestivum (bread wheat)
Lineage: Eukaryota; Viridiplantae; Streptophyta; Magnoliopsida; Poales; Poaceae
Description: long non-coding RNA (TAES_LNC021411)
Source: RNAcentral
AAGAAAUGCCUUUGAGAUAGUCUUGGGUGAUUGUCCCUAAAGAGUUUCCUACAGAACACAUUUAUGACGUAUGACUCUACCCAUCCUUCCUCUUUGAAAGAUUUCCCCAAUUGUUCCAAAGAAACCCUGCAAUUAUCAAUUUCAACAACCCAUUUCAUGUAUGUUGAGGAAAAGGGAGGGAGGAAGAACACAUGAGAAGUGAAAAAGUUAUUGUUAGAAAAAGCAAAUAAACAAAUGAUGAACGCAGAACAAAACUUAAGAAAAAAAGCCACAAAGAUAGAAACACAAUGAGGAGAAAAGAGAAAAAUACCCCUUGUAAUCUGCAUGACUGCUUAAGAUCAUGAUAUUGUUGUAGAGAUCCAAUUCAUGGCUCAAAAUUUCUCCCCUGUUAUACCCGUCAUAAGGAG